GUCUACUGCCAAACAACCCUGAAUAUGCUCGAUCUCAUCUAAUGUUGGAAGCUAAGCAAGGUCAGGCCUGGUUAGUACUUGGAUGGGAGAGAGGAGUCAGAGAUGAUCCUCAGGCUGUUACUGGCA
RNAcentral lists this ribosomal RNA (126 nucleotides) under Cavia porcellus (domestic guinea pig). The record is from RNAcentral. Lineage: Eukaryota; Metazoa; Chordata; Mammalia; Rodentia; Caviidae.